Long non-coding RNA from Eleginops maclovinus (Patagonian blennie), 1992 nucleotides. RefSeq lists it as uncharacterized. The transcript is spliced from 3 exons. The record is from RefSeq and is a predicted model, not a curated record. Lineage: Eukaryota; Metazoa; Chordata; Actinopteri; Perciformes; Eleginopidae.
CUUUUUUCUAUACAUAUAUUUCUAAGAGUGUAGGGAUUUAUUAAACUUUGUCACUGAAAACAAUGUCCUAUGGUGCGACACCAUACCCUUAUUUUGAGACGGGCAAUUUCAUGGACAACUAUCUCUUAUUGAUGGACCCCCUCUAAAGUUAUUUGACUGAAGACUCCAAAGAAGCCCAUGACAAGUGCACAUGAACAGUAAGAUUUGAGGGUGAGAUGAGCGGGAAAGAAAGAACAAGGAAGUACAGAGAGCGAAUAAACAGUGAUCCACACAGCAGGGAGGCGAUCCUUGCAGAGCGACGGAGAAAGUAUCAAGAAAAGAAGACUGAAGGCAAACUAUGUGCCUUUAACAUCAAUACAAUACCAAAAAGGAAGCAAGGACAAUUGCGAAAAACAUGGAAAGAAUCAAAGAAAAGAUGCAGAGCCAGGGAAAAAGCACUGAAUGCUAUUCUGGACAUAACCCCAACGUCUCCAGAAAACAUACUGGUGGAGCCAAUGGAUUUGAUACCAGCAGAACCUCCAGAAGAGCCUGCUCCUUUACCUCUUCAACCAGUAGUGCCCCCAAAUGUAGAGGAACAUAUGAAUUCAACACUACAGGCCACACCAACAAAAUGGAUAAGUCAGACCAAAAGAAUGAAAGUAAAACUGACAAGACUGCAGAAGGAGAAUGAAUUACUGAAAAAACGCAUCAAGAGUGAACAACUGAAAUCAAUGAAAUUCGGGAAAAAACUGCAUCGUCUAACUGAAAAGAAAGCACAAACACCAUUCCGUGAGAGAGUGUAUAAGCCUAAACAGAAAAAAAGUGCGACAGAGAAGAGACAAGAAGUUGUAUCCUUCCUGUCAAGAGAUGAAAACAGUAGACUACAACCUGGAAAGAAAGACACUGUUGGCCGUGUGACCAAGAUGCAGCGAAGAAUUCUCACAAAAUCUCUUCAAGACCUCUACAGUGACUACUGCAAAGAUUCUGGAAGGAAACAUUCAAUGUCAUACAGGCAGUUUGUCCGAUAUAGGCCGUUUUAUGUCACAGAAGCUAAAGCCACUGACCGUAACACUUGUGCUUGUUACCAACACGAGAACAUGCGGCUCCUCAUCAACCGUAUGGCACAUAGGGGCAUCAUUCCAACCCAAAGCCUGUCAUUGCUCCUUAAAAGCAUCACUUGUAGUGCUGAAAACAAGGAAUGCAUGUACAGAACAUGCACUCAAUGUUGUUUUAAUGAGAUUCAGCUUGCCAACCACAACCCUCUUGAUGCUGCAAGAUGGGAACAUUGGACUAAAGAAGAGGUGACCAUUAGCGAAAAAGUGUACAAGAACUGGGUGAAGAAGACCAAGAGUGGCUCUGUUCAACAACUGAUCGAAGAGUUCCAGCAUGAGCUUGAGUCAAUUGCAAGCCACCAGUUCAACUGGUUACACCAGGCAGAAAAUUUUAGAGAAAGGAAACAGAAAGUAGCUGAAAAUGAAAUCAUCCUACACAUAGACUUUUCGGAGAACUAUGGGUGCAAACUAAAUUCCGAAAUCCAGGCCUUUCAUUUUGGGGGGAAUCGACAGCAGGUCACUAUUCACACUGCAGUUGCAUACACCACACAUGGAACCCAGAGCUAUGCAACUCUGUCAGCAUCACUCAGGCAUAACAAUAAAACCUUUAUAAAUCAGUUUUCUGACUCAGUCUUGCGUUUACUUUCAUCUCUGUCCUUUAGUGUGACUUGGAUGUCCUAUAGUGUGACAUUUCUAAAAGAAUCAAAACUGUGUUUUAACUUAAAAAUGUCUUUGAAAAACAUUGAAUAUUGCAUUAGGGGAGAGACAAGUAUCACUUCUGAAAAUGUAGUAUAAUUUUGAAACAUUUUGUACAAUUGACAAGAAUGUUAUCCCUGCAUUUCUAGGAAGAAGUCCAACGAGCUCAACUGUAAGUGGGUAAAAAUAUUCUUAAUAGUAAUUUCACAUUAAAUAAAAACUCUUUAUGGAAAUCAAGGGUGCAACAAUGUAGAACAAACUGUUA